AUUGAACGCUGGCGGCAGGCCUAACACAUGCAAGUCGAACGGUAACAGGAAGAAGCUUGCUUCUUUGCUGACGAGUGGCGGACGGGUGAGUAAUGUCUGGGAAACUGCCUGAUGGAGGGGGAUAACUACUGGAAACGGUAGCUAAUACCGCAUAACGUCGCAAGACCAAAGAGGGGGACCUUCGGGCCUCUUGCCAUCGGAUGUGCCCAGAUGGGAUUAGCUAGUAGGUGGGGUAACGGCUCACCUAGGCGACGAUCCCUAGCUGGUCUGAAAGGAUGACCAGCCACACUGGAACUGAGACACGGUCCAGACUCCUACGGGAGGCAGCAGUGGGGAAUAUUGCACAAUGGGCGCAAGCCUGAUGCAGCCAUGCCGCGUGUAUGAAGAAGGCCUUUGGGUUGUAAAGUACUUUCAGCGGGGAGGAAGGGAGUAAAGUUAAUACCUUUACUCAUUGACGUUACCCGCAGAAGAAGCACCGGCUAACUCCGUG
This 490-nucleotide ribosomal RNA is filed under the name uncultured bacterium. Its description in RNAcentral is "partial 16S ribosomal RNA". It matches the Rfam family "Bacterial small subunit ribosomal RNA", at positions 30 to 507 of the family's 1533-position model. The record is from RNAcentral.